GUGUCGGCGAGGCUAGAAAAGGAGCAGGUUUUUCAUUAAACGACAAUGAUACUCGUCAGCCAUCCAUUUAGCGACUACGAUGAAUAAUCAUUAACGAUUAGUGGUCAAAGUUAUGCGAGGCAAGGAACGUGACUGCCAAAGGAGUUAAAUAAAUUAUCCUGCCUUCAAGAGUAAUGGAGACGACGAUCGUGGAUGCGCGUCCUUUCGCGCUAGAGAAAAUAAAAUGAGAAGAGGCUUGAAAUCGUAAGAUACGUCACGAAUCGUGCGAAAAUCCUCAAUGAGUUCAUGAGAUUAAAGAAGAUGGCGCACGUCUAGCCCGUAAACGAUGGCAUUUUAAACGAAGUGGUUCUGACUGAGGAGGAGCAAACCCGAGCCGUGAACCAGGCACGAAAGAGGAUAAUAUGAGGAGGGCUCUUACUUUGAACUCCCAACAAGCAAGAGUUUCUUCACCUCAUUAUGCACUUUAACGCAUUAUUAUUCUCUUUGCCACUGGCAUCUCAAGGGCAGCGACAAAGGCGAGUCUGUUUAAAAUUACUUAGCAACCUGCCUGAAACUGACCCUACGCAAUUUUUCAAAUUUUGCACUUUCAUUUCACUAAGUCUUUGAUUGUCGUUAAUGCAUCCUUUUUUUUCACAGGGGUUCAAUCGACGAAGGAUGAACGGUGGGGAUUUUUUUUUCAAUUAAAAUCCAAGAGCAAGAUGCAAUCGACAAUUGUAACAGCCAUUGAAGAGGCAAGUUUCACAGUAAGGAUUCGGAUCACGAUCACGCACUAUCCCAAUACGGCAGGCAGCCUUUACGAAAAGUCUGUGAAAAAGAGCCAAUGUAAUUUCAAGGUGCAGUUCAAAAUUGAAGGAGGGUCGAAGUUCACUGAAACAUGCAUGAAUAGGGAAAUGACGCCAUUAAUGAAGUAUGACGGCGGGCAGGGUAGGGAAGCGCAAAGAACUUUAAGAUGAAAAGAAUUUUUAAAAAAAUGCAAAAUCCAUCUAAGGAAAGCAUAUCAGUUGUUAUCAGCAGACACGUGAAUUCUAGAGCAAUGCAUACUAAUUGUAACUGCAGUCAUAGGCUAUUCAAAGAGAACACAUACUGCAGUGUGUCUCAUUGCAAUCUCAAAGUGCAUCUUAGGUCGGCAGUGAUGCAAUUCUCAUUCUUAAAAAUCUAACGAGUAUUAUCAGUCUUUCCAAGUACAUCGUACCAAUACCAUAUUAUGUGAUUUCUUCGCAGUUUUAGCGUAUAUAUUUUUUAAAUCCUUUUUCUAAAAAUUCCAGAAAGUCUCGCGUCUCCCUGAAUUCUGGAAAGGAUCCAGCGAAGAUUUAGACUGCCUUCUCCUCACGACAGAGGAGACAUACAUAUACCUACGUACAAGGGAGAGAUAGGACCCAAGUGUACGGAAGGGAGUGAGUGCAUACAAGAUGCAUGUAUGUAUGUAAUAGUAGAGAGAAGGGCUGGCUACUGCACAAAGAUGCAUGCUGGAGAGAUACAACAGGAAAAAAAUAAAGUUCAUUGAGCUUGCCCGGGCUGGAUUCGACUGUUGGAUUCUCACAAGCCUAACUGAAUGGCGUCGGUUAUAAACGCGCCCAACGCCGGAUGUGCACAUAUGUUCAGUGUACUAUUCGUGAAGAGGACUGCGUGGAAAACAAAGAAUAAGAAUAAUAACAGCUUAUAACGUAAGGAAUGAAAGAACAAGAAAAGAUCAGCCUGUUAUUCGGAGGAAGUGAGGUCGAAGUGUCGCGGUAUGCGAGGAAGUUAUGCCGAGAACUCAUCCUAAGGACGAGGGAUGAUACUUUCUUUGAAUUCCUGGACAUUAGCCGAUGUGAGAGCAAGAGACGAGGAAGAAAAAUUAUUUUGCACCAGAAAUCACUGACAACGUCAUUCGAUCUGAAUGAAAUCAUUGUACUUUAAAUAAUUGGAGGCAAAUUUAUAUUGUACUUUUAAUUGACUUUUACGGAGGUGAAGAAAAACUUUUUACCUCUGACGUGCGUAAGAAGGUACGGGCGGAGAAAGGUUAACGGAACAAUAUCUUGGAGCCAGAUUAAUUCUGGACCAAUGAGGAUAAAGAAGGACCUAAAAAGAAUAGGGCCUUAGUCCCGAUGAAGAAAGUGUAAUUCUACGACAAUGGCGAGCAGACAAAUUUUUAAGGAUCGUAAUACGCUGCUAGGGACUUUAAGUAAAUCAGGCUCUACGCCAUUACAAGGAAUAGCGGGAUGGGUCCGACAACGGUGACCGGGACUCGAUGGGACGCCAAUGGGACGAAGUGGGCUCGUUUGGAUCGAGCGGUAGGCUCGGCAGUUAGCACGGGGCCCUUCCUGCGCCUUGUUAGCGUGUUAAGACCCCCUCGUAUACAGGGGAGCCACGAAAACUAUUCUUCGAAGCACAUAUAAGAAGAGAAUCUUAUGUUUUCCACUGGGUGCACUGGUGUCAGUGAGGAUGCUCGGUAUCAGACCUUGCAAAUCUGACGUCAUAUAUUGCAACACCAGAUCAACAAAGGAGAACAAAAACAUUGCAAGUCCGAAAGUCAGCUCCCGUGACUGCAAGAUGAAAUUGUAGCUUAGUAGGAAGAAAGAAAUGAAACAGAAGCAAAUCGCUCGAAUUCUCGUGAAACGUAACCAGAUGGUAGCACGUGUUGUAAGAGAAAACUGACUGGGUGUUGUGCGUUUAAAAUGCAUCUGGUAGACGCAAAGGCCAAGAGAGAGAAAGAGAAAGACAGAUAUAGAAUAUAUAAAAAAGAAAAGGAAAAUGAAAGCACGAGAAAAUUAGUGAGUAUGACGACGAGGGGGGGAGCACAAAGGAACCUGGCAACGCUGUUUUUGUUGCAUCUCUUCAUUUUUUUUAACGACGUCCGUUUACUGUAACGACUACACCAUUUAGCUAUGGUUGCAAACCGAAAAAAAUUGUGCAAAAGCCGCCGAAACCUAUUAGAUUGUCAUGACAGAUGGAAAAUAGUCCAGUUUCAAUCGGUAACGGUAUCAAUUUUCUUCUUAGCUCAGGUAACGAUUCCAGAGUAUGGAGUGUAGAAAAAUUCAGUCAACGCCUACGCAGUGUAGUGAAGCUCUGACAAAGUUUUCCAACGUAGGAAACCGGGGAUCUAAGAUGAAAGAUGAGAAGGAGGUGGCGAUGCAGGAGAAAGAUGGAAAUACAAAGGAAGCAAGGCUAAGAAAAAGAAGGGACAAAAAAAACGAAGCCCCCAGUUGCAGGUUUUGAUUGCCGUGCACCUGGAAACCUUAUUUAUAUUGUAGCUUGUUAAAAGGCCAAGAAGAGAGUAGGAGGUCAGGAGGAGAUACAUUGGCUGAAGAAAGGAAGGGAGAACGAGUGAGAUGAGUAUGGCUAAGAGAAGAAAAAGAUGGUAGGUAGGGUCUCCUCUUAGAGUCUACAUUCCUGAGGUUGGGGUUCCCGUGUACCGACAGGCCAGCUUGGGGCCCCAUAGAGCAUAGAAUUAUGUAUUAUGCUUUCCCCCUGGCAAGGCCACAAGUCCAUCUCGUUCCGAGUGUAUCUUUACCCCGAGGAUGCUGCAGCUAUCUAUCUACACAUUGGAGAAGUUAUCACAGUUGAUCGUUCCAACUUCUACAUUGUAAGGAGCCAGAAAAAUUUGAAGUCAAAUAUUAAGACUCUUACAACCGUUAGGGCUGCGGGUGUUAUCGUACAAAAAUUACGGAGCCUCAUUUUUUUUAUUGGUUUACCACACUUGACCAUGUAAAUAUGUCAUGGGGUUCCGUGCUGACUAAAUAGGAAGUUGACUAGUUGGUUUAAAUAAAUUAGAACGGAGUUUCCACGACGAGGUAAUAAAAAGAAUCGAAUUGGCAGAGGCUCCCUUUAUCUUAUCUGUGGAAACAAUUGAGAUAAUGAGAAAGCAGGAGGUCGUGGAUUAAACUGACCUCCCUGGCUGAGACGCAUUAACCUCAAAACGCGUAAUACUUUACUCUGAACAUUUUUAUAGCUUUAAAAUUUACCUACGAUCAACAUGCACGUGCAAUUAAUGACUUGGGUGCACGAAUAAAUUCAGGAUGCGUAUCGUUAUCUUUCUAUAAUACAUAUUUUUAAUUUAACGGUAUGUCACGUGAUGUCUUCUAUGCACGGGAUAAACUACAUAUGCACUAUACAGCAAUGCGAUUUAAAUAUGAACAGGGUGAAACUGUGUAUGCUGAACAUGAAGCAUAGUAUACUGGAUGAUGGUGCGUAUAUCUCUGGGAUAAUAAGAAGACGACCGGGCCUGUAGGACAAGGGCAAAAAUUUGACAAAUGGUCGACGUGUUUUCUUGCAAGACCGACCGGUUAUGGUCGCAGCGGGAGUCUGGGCGCACCGAGAAACCUUUACCCAAACACCAAAUAUUACUUUUGACAUAAGUCUCUUCUCUCACUCUAUGCUUUUUUAGCACAUUAACGAAAUGUAUGUAGG
Molecule: long non-coding RNA, 4389 nt
Organism: Cephus cinctus (wheat stem sawfly)
Lineage: Eukaryota; Metazoa; Arthropoda; Insecta; Hymenoptera; Cephidae
Exons: 3
Source: RefSeq, a predicted model, not a curated record